GAUGAACGCUGGCGGCGUGCCUAACACAUGCAAGUCGAACGAACAGACGCUGCGCUUGUUUCUUUCUCGUUUGCGGCGCGCGGGAGUGUCACACGUGUAUACCCCCCUUGAAUUUGUGAUAACUUUUGGGGACAGCGGCGCUUACCGCGGAGAAUCUUCUGAACCGUGUGGUUGAAUAGAAAAAUUCGGCCUUUGUGUCUGGUCUCGCGGCAUCUCCGCUGCAUUAGCUAGUUGGUAAGGUAACAGCCUACCAAGGGUACGAUGCCUAGCCGACGUGAGAGGCGGGUCGGCCGCACUGGAACUGAGACACGGUCCAGACUACUGCGGGAGGCAGCAGUAGGGAAUCGUCGGCAAUGGGCGAAAACCUGACGGAGCAACGCCGCGUGAGUGAUGAAGGUCUUCGGUUCGUAAAACUGUGUUAUGGGGGAAGAACAGAUGUGUAAGGAACUGUGCACAUCUUGACGGUACCGAAUCAGAAAGCAACGGCUAACUACGUG
Molecule: ribosomal RNA, 497 nt
Filed under: uncultured bacterium
Lineage: Bacteria
Description: partial 16S ribosomal RNA
Rfam family: Bacterial small subunit ribosomal RNA
Source: RNAcentral